CAGCUUUCUGUGUACUGUCUGUUAUCUUUAUUUCUCCAUCCUCUCACCAUCCUUCUUCCUUCACCCCUGAACUUCAAGAGCUAUGCAGGACAUGGCGCACCUGGACAUCAUGGGUGAGACAACUCAAUUACUUGUACGAUUAUUUUUCAAUAGGCGGAAAUUAGAAUCGCCAUUCAAUAUCUACCUGAGACACCCAGGAUGUGAGCGAGCACAAUGGAAGUGGCAGAAUAUUAAUGAUACCAAAAGGAAGAGAGCUGUCUCUACAUGGAACAGUUAAAAUAUACAGGAGCCAGGCGUGGCAGUGCACACCUAUAAUCCCAGCACUCGGGAGGCUGAGGCAGGAGGAUCCCCAUGAGUUCAAGGCCAGUUUGGGCUACAAAGUGAGUCAAGGUCAGCCUGAACUGCACAGUGAAAUUCUGCCUCAAAAAAAACCAAAAAUGAAUAAAUAAAGUAAAAUGUGUAUGUCUUCC
This is a long non-coding RNA of Cavia porcellus (domestic guinea pig), 470 nucleotides long. RefSeq lists it as uncharacterized. Lineage: Eukaryota; Metazoa; Chordata; Mammalia; Rodentia; Caviidae. The record is from RefSeq and is a predicted model, not a curated record. The transcript has 2 exons.